GACGAACGCUGGCGGCGUGCUUAACACAUGCAAGUCGAACGGAAAGGCCCUGCUUUUGUGGGGUGCUCGAGUGGCGAACGGGUGAGUAACACGUGAGUAACCUGUCCUUGACUUUGGGAUAACUUCAGGAAACUGGGGCUAAUACCGGAUAGGAGCUCUUGCUGCAUGGGGUGGGUUGGAAAGUUUCGGCGGUUGGGGAUGGACUCGCGGCUUAUCAGCUUGUUGGUCGGGUAGGGGUUUACCAAGGCUUUGAAGGGUAGCCUGCCUGGGAGGGUAGCCGGCCACCAUGGGACUACGAUACGGACCAGACGCCUACCGGCGGCAGCGGUGGGGAGUCUGGCACAGUGGGGGCACGCCAGAUGCAGCGGCGUCGCGUGCGUGAUGACGGCCUUCGGGUUAUAAACCACUUUGUCCUGUGACGAAGCGUGAGUGACGGUAAUGGGUAAAAAAGCACCGGCUAACUACGUG
Molecule: ribosomal RNA, 468 nt
Filed under: uncultured bacterium
Lineage: Bacteria
Description: partial 16S ribosomal RNA
Rfam family: Bacterial small subunit ribosomal RNA
Source: RNAcentral